GCCGGGGUGGUGGAACUGGUAGACACGCUGGAUUCAAAAUCCAGUGCCUUUACAGGCGUGCCGGUUCGACUCCGGCCCUCGGUACCA
RNAcentral lists this transfer RNA (87 nucleotides) under Mariprofundaceae bacterium. Its description in RNAcentral is "tRNA-Leu". It matches the Rfam family "tRNA". From Rfam's summary of the family: Transfer RNA (tRNA) molecules are approximately 80 nucleotides in length. Lineage: Bacteria; Pseudomonadati; Pseudomonadota; Candidatius Mariprofundia; Mariprofundales; Mariprofundaceae. The record is from RNAcentral.